GACUGGGAUAACCCUGGGAAACUGGGGCUAAUACCGGAUAGGCAAUUUUUCCUGGAAUGGUUUUUUGUUUAAAUGUUUUUUCGCCUAAGGAUGGGUCUGCGGCCGAUUAGGUAGUUGGUUAGGUAAUGGCUUACCAAGCCGUUGACCGGUACGGGUUGUGAGAGCAAGAGCCCGGAGAUGGAACCUGAGACAAGGUUCCAGGCCCUACGGGGUGCAGCAGGCGCGAAACCUCCGCAAUGUGAGAAAUCGCGACGGGGGGAUCCCAAGUGCCAUUCUUAACGGGAUGGCUUUUCAUUAGUGUAAAGAGCUUUUGGAAUAAGAGCUGGGCAAGACCGGUGCCAGCCGCCGCGGUAACACCGGCAGCUCUAGUGGUAACAAUUUUUAUUGGGCCUAAAGCGUCCGUAGCCGGUUUAAUAAGUCUCUGGUGAAAUCCUGUAGCUUAACUGUGGGAAUUGCUGGAGAUACUAUUAGACUUGAGACCGGGAGAGGUUAGAGGUACUCCCAGGGUAGAGGUGAAAUUCUGUAAUCCUGGGAGGACCGCCUGUUGCGAAGGCGUCUAACUGGAACGGUUCUGACGGUGAGGGACGAAAGUUAGGGGCGCGAACCGGAUUAGAUACCCGGGUAGUCCUAACUGUAAACGAUGCGGACUUGGUGUUGGGGUGGCUUUGAGCUGCUCCAGUGCCGAAGGGAAGCUGUUAAGUCCGCCGCCUGGGAAGUACGGUCGCAAGACUGAAACUUAA
Molecule: ribosomal RNA, 740 nt
Filed under: uncultured archaeon
Lineage: Archaea
Description: bacterial SSU rRNA
Rfam family: Archaeal small subunit ribosomal RNA
Source: RNAcentral